This 468-nucleotide ribosomal RNA is filed under the name uncultured bacterium. RNAcentral's name for it is "partial 16S ribosomal RNA". It matches the Rfam family "Bacterial small subunit ribosomal RNA", at positions 28 to 507 of the family's 1533-position model. The record is from RNAcentral.
GACGAACGCUGGCGGCGUGCUUAACACAUGCAAGUCGAACGGAAAGGCCCUGCUUUUGUGGGGUGCUCGAGUGGCGAACGGGUGAGUAACACGUGAGUAACCUGCCCUUAACUUUGGGAUAACUUCAGGAAACUGGGGCUAAUACCGGAUAGGAGCUCCUGCUGCAUGGUGGGGGUUGGAAAGUUUCGGCGGUUGGGGAUGGACUCGCGGCUUAUCAGCUUGUUGGUGGGGUAGUGGCUUACCAAGGCUUUGACGGGUAGCCGGCCUGAGAGGGUGACCGGCCACAUUGGGACUGGGAUACGGCCCAGACUCCUACGGGAGGCAGCAGUGGGGAAUAUUGCACGAUGGGCGGAAGCCUGAUGCAGCAACGCCGCGUGCGGGAUGACGGCCUUCGGGUUGUAAACCGCUUUCGCCUGUGACGAAGCGUGAGUGACGGUAAUGGGUAAAGAAGCACCGGCUAACUACGUG